GGUAGUGUGGCCGAGUAUAGGUGGCGAGUUGUAGCCUCGUUCACUGGGAAGUACCCACGCUACCAAGCC
RNAcentral lists this transfer RNA (69 nucleotides) under Lygodactylus angolensis (Angola dwarf gecko). RNAcentral describes it as "tRNA-Tyr". The record is from RNAcentral. Lineage: Eukaryota; Metazoa; Chordata; Lepidosauria; Squamata; Gekkonidae.